UAUUGGACAAUGGGCGCAAGCCUGAUCCAGCAAUACCGCGUGUGUGAAGAAGGCCUUAGGGUUGUAAAGCACUUUCAAUUGGGAGGAAAACCUGCCGGUCAAUACCCGGUAGCUUGACAUUACCUUUAGAAGAAGCACCGGCUAACUCCGUGCCAGCAGCCGCGGUAAUACGGAAGGUGCGAGCGUUAAUCGGAAUUACUGGGCAUAAAGCGUGCGUAGGCGGUUCGUUAAGUCAGAUGUGAAAGCCCUGGGCUCAACCUGGGAACUGCAUUUGAAACUGGCGGACUAGAGUUUAGUAGAGGGGAGUGGAAUUUCAGGUGUAGCGGUGAAAUGCGUAGAUAUUUGAAGGAACACCAGUGGCGAAGGCGACUCCCUGGACUAGAACUGACGCUGAGUACGAAA
RNAcentral lists this ribosomal RNA (402 nucleotides) under uncultured bacterium. RNAcentral describes it as "bacterial SSU rRNA". It matches the Rfam family "Bacterial small subunit ribosomal RNA", at positions 362 to 758 of the family's 1533-position model. The record is from RNAcentral.